CCCAACACGACGCGUGUGCCACCCGGUCAAGUCUAGGUCUAGCCGCCGCUCCCCUCCCCACCCCCAGGGGAUUUAUCCUCUCUUCCUCUCCAGUCUCCUCCUCCAUCUCCAUGCUCUUCCUGCCUCGGAGUCGGAGACCCUUUACAAUAAUUACUUACUUGGAGCAUCUCUAGCAGACCCUUGACAACCGGGCCUGGAUCUGGAUCCGGAUCCAUCUCUUCUCCCCUCCCCCGCGCCGGAUCGCGCAUCGGCUUGGAGGCCCCUCGGGGCUGCCGCCGGUGCGGGAGGCGUCCGCGGCCGUGCGAGCUGGGAACAGAGCGGCGGGUUUCGAUCGAGGGCUUUCUCGGGCCGGCGCGGGAUCUGAGCCGCCGUCCAUGGAUUUCUCGCAGCUUGGGUUUGGUACUAUCCCCACCUCUCUCUCUCUCCCUCCCUCGGCGUUGACGCGCGCGCACCUAAACCGGAUCAGGCGAGCGCUCGUUGCCUGAUCGCUCAACCAUCGUCCCUGGUCGGCUGACGCCAGGUAUGAGCAGCUCCUGAGCCUGGUCGCUCGAUGCGUGCACGCACGCAUGUAUGCAUAUAUAUACUCCCUCUGUAAAGAAAUAUCAUGGUCAUGUUGCUUGGUGUGGAAUUGUGGCUGAAACAAUCAUGUCUUGGGCAAUCAAGACAGCCGUGGUGGUGGGUACUAAAUAAGAGCGUCUACGACCGGACUUAUUGACCCAUCAUUUGUACCGCCCUCUCAGUUCCCCGUCAGCUACGGUGCCGCCAGCCAUCGACAUUCCAUUGCCUGGGAUCCGGUUGUGGCGUGGGCUGGGAGCCGUACGGUGUUGUUGUCUGAUGUGUGCUGGAGGGUUUGGUCGGUCGAGGCCAGGUAUGAGCAGCUCCUGAGACUGAUGGAUGGAUGAUGUAUGCAUGCAUGAUACUAUGGUCAUGCUGGGACCGGAUUCACUGUUUUGACCCUAUUUGGAGAAGUUCAGCACAAAAUGAACCAUGUUGGAAGCUUAUCUGGGGCGAUGAUGAUGAAACAUGGCUGACAUAAACUUGUCUUCGGGCACCAAAAACACACUCCCCCUUCUUUUGAAACCUUUUCAUUCUCACAGAAUAUUGACGGCUCUGUCUUGGAUGGUCAUUCUGUUGAGUGAUAACCAGAGGAGCUCGACUACAAUUUUGGGGGCUGAUCUGGUGAAAGAAGAUGGUGGAGCUAGGUUGUAUGAUCUAUCAAAGGCGAAUCUGAGCCCUCUCAAAUCUCAAUGCAACUAAUAUUGUGGCCUCUACACUUUUAUUUACUUCUAUCACCUCUUUAUGUUUAAAAGUGAUGAAUUGUCGUGGUUGUGGCAUUUGCUAUCUCAUUAGGAGCAGCUGCUCACAAAUCACCUCUCGUGGUGUUUGGUUUGCUUUCUCAUGAUUUUGUUUUCCAUGGUGGGAACCACUUCGGUGCAUUCGGGCUUUUUCUUUUCGGUUUUACUUUUCCUUGAAUGGUUGUGAUAAUUCUACUGUCCCUUGGAUAGCUUUUGAGAUUAUCUUAUUGGGUUGGGGGUCAGUUUGCUUGUUUGAAUUGCUAUUUGGCUUUUGAUAUUGUCAUCCUUCUAUACGCUUUAUGUACUUAUUAUCAGUUUGCACUUUUGGCACUCCCCACUUCUUUACUGGUUUCAACUUAAGGGUCGAUGGAUUUUGGCAGCUUGGCUGCAUGUUGCUUCGGAUUCGGUACUGUCACCAUCUUCCUCUGCCCCCCCCCCCCCCCCCCCAAACCCUAGGUGUGGACGUGCGCACCUAUACCGAAACCCUGAACCGAAUCAUCAGAGCUCUUGUUGCCGCAUCACCGACCCAUCGUCCGGGUGGGUGCCGCGUCAGUCCCUCAGGCUCUACGGUGCCGCCAAUCCAUUGGCUUGGAUUCAGUUGUGCCAUGGGCUGGGAACCGUACAGUGAUGUCUGAUCGGUCGUCCGUGCGGGAGGUUUGGUCGGUCGAGGCCAGGUAUGAGUAGCUCUUGAGCAGGAUGGAUGCAGAGGGCGAUGAUGAUGAUGACGACGAGUGUGGCUGAAAUAAAGGUGUCUAGACAACCUAUAGCCAGCAGUCGGCUAUACUAUUAACCAUGCUCUAAAUAGAAUCGGUGAACGCAUUAGAGUUGCUCUUAGAGCCCACCCUUACUUCUCUUGCAGCCUGUUCAAUUCAUCGCUGAUGCUGGAUGUUCUGUGGCUCGGACGGUCAUCCUGAUGAGUGAUAACCAGGGCAGUUCUCCUCUACACUGAUGGGUAGAUUUUGCAGCAAGAGAUGUGGUUGGGUUUCAAGAUGAAAUGCAAAACUGAGCCAUCUUCUUUUGCUUAUCCUCUCUCUCUCAAACCCUAAACCAAAUCAGUUGAGUUCUCAUUGCCGACUCGUUGACCAAUCGUCUGUGUGGUUGGUGUGUCAGUUCCACACCGCUACGGCGCCGCCACCGCUAUCCCAUUGGCUUCGAUUCGGGUGCGGCGUGGGCUGGGAACCGUACGGUGUUGUCUGAUGCGUCGUCUGAGCAGGAGGGUUGGUCUGUCGAGGCCAGGUAUGAGCAGCUCCUGAGAUGGUGGACGGAUGGAUGUAUGCAUGCAUGUAUGUAUGUAUAUCAUGGUCAUGUUGCUUGUGGUUCGGUGUCCUUUUUGGAAAAAACUGAGGGGCGAUGAUGAUGCCUGUGGCUGAAAUAAUUAUGUCUUGAGCAAUCAGGACAUCUGUGGUGCGUGGGUACUAAAUAGGGCCUGAACGGGUGCUUGCGUUGGAGAUGCCCUUAAGGGCCCUCCCUUGGCUCUCUUGCAGCCUGUUCAAUUCAUUACCAAUUUUGGAUGUUCUGCGCCGCGGACGGUCAUUCUGUUGAGUGAUAACCAGAUCAGUUCUCUUGCAUCAAGAUGGGUAGAUUAUGCAGCAAGAGAUGCGGAGUGUUGGGCUUCAAGAUGAAACACAAAACUGAGCCCUCUUUUGAUAUGCUACAAAUACUAAAGUAGUGAUCUAAACGCUCUUAUAUUUCUUUACGGAGGGAGUAUUUGUGAACAUAGGGAGUAUCUAUCUAUCAGGGGCGAUGAUGAUCAAACAUGGCUGAUAUAAACCUGUCUUCGAUUAUUCAAGAAGCUGUGGGUAUCAAAAACCAUCUCUCCCCUCUUUUGGGACCUUUUCAUUCUCACCAAAUAUUGAUGGCUCUGUCUUGGAUGGUCAUUCUGUUAAGUAAUAACCAGCAGAGCUUGACUUCAAUGUUGGGGGUUGAUCUGGUGAAAGAAGAUGGGGCUAGUGUGAUCUAUCAAAGGCGAAUCUGAGCCCUCCUACAUCCGAUUCAUAAAAAAGUUGGAACAUCUUAUAUUUGUGAACUGAGGGGAGUAUCUAUCUAUCUAUCUAUCUAUGAGGGGCAAUGAUGAUCAAACAUGGCUGACAUAAACCUGUCUUUGAUUAUUUGAGGAGCUUUGGGUAUAAAAAACCCUCUCUCCCCUCUUUUGGGACCUUUUCAUUCUCAACGAAUAUUGACGGCUCUGUCUUGGAGGGUCAUUCUGUUGAGUGAUAACCAGCAGAGCUUGACUUCAAUGGUGGGGAAUGAUCUGAUGAAAGAAGAUGGUGGGGAUAGUAUGAUCUAUCAAAGGCAAAUCUGAGCCCUCCUACAUCCGGUUCAUAAAAAAGUUAGAACAUCUUAUAUUUGUAAAUAGAGGGAGUAUCUAUCUAUCUAUCUAUCAGGGGCGAUGACGAUCAAACAUGGCUGACAUAAACCUGUUUUUGAUUAUUUAAGGAGCUGUCGGUAUCAAACACCUGCUCUCCUCCCCUCUUUUGGGACCUUUUCACUCUCACCGAAUAUUGACGGCUGUCUUGGAUGGUCAUUCUGUUGAGUGAUAACCAGCAGAGCUUGACUUCAAUGGUGGGGGAUGAUCUGGUGAAAGAAGAUGGUGGGGCUAGUAUGAUCUAUCAAAGGCGAAUCUGAGCCCUCUCAAUGCAACUUAUAUUGUGCGUAAAAAGUUAGUAUGUUUAAUAAAGGUAAUAAAUUGUUGUGGUGUUUGGUUUGCCUUCUCAUGAUUUUGUGGUUCAUGGAGGGAACCAGUUUGGUGCUUUCAGGCUUUGCUCAAGCUCGUCUCGUUGUGGUGGUCCUUGUACCGGUAGUGUUUGAAUGUGUUUACUCCCUUCUUUUCGUGGGGUUAAAUGUGUGAAGCAUGGUCAGCAAAUGUUUGCCCUCUUUUCCUGUCUAUGCAUGUCCUCUUUUUCGUCCCCUUAUUUUUUUACUGGUUCUUAUGGCAGUGAUGUAAAUUCAAGUCGGCAAGUUGUCAACAUUUUUUCUACUGUUUUAGCAUAGCACAGCAACUGCUAAUUGGCCUUUAAGAAUACAAUUUGGCCGGUUUGCUUUUUGCUGAUGACCAUUCUAAUGCUUAUACAAGCCAAUGCGUGGAAAACCACAAAAAUCUUGUGUUGCGAAAAUACCACUUCUAUCUUUUCCUUUUUGAGAAUUUGUCUUUCUUGCCAAGCUUGUAUCCAUGUAUACAUAAAAGAUAUGUUGAGAGUUUGGUUUUGGUUUUAGUUCUUUUGGUAUGCAAAGGACUGUUUUGCAAGUUAACGUUUUGGAUGCCGCCUGUGCGGGAGGCGUCCGCGGCGGCGCGGGCUGGGGAACGAGCGGCGGGGCCCAUGCUGCGCUCCGGUCGAGGGCUUGGUCGGGCCGGCGCGGGAUCUGAGCUGCCGUCGAUGGAUUUCUGGCAGCUUGGCUGCAUGUAGCUUUGGAUUCGGUAACAUCCCCAUCUCUCCGUCUCUGACCCCCCCCCCCCCCACACACACACGAAUUUGUCUCUCGUUGCCGCAUCGCUGACCCAUUGUCCCGAGAUGGCCCCUGCGUCAGUUCCACACCGCUACGGCGCCGCCAGCCACCGCCGUUCCAUUCCCUUGGGUUCAGUUGUGGCGUGGGCUGGAGCCGUACUCUGUUGUCUGAUGCGUCGUUGGAGCGGGAGGUUUGGUCGGUCGACGCCAGGUAUGAGCAGCUCCUGAGCAGGAUGGAUGGAUGAAUGCAUCCAUGUGUCGUGAACUAAAAUCACGACACUUAUUUGGAACGGAGGGAGUAGUAUGUAUGGAUGUCAUGGUCAUGUUGCUUGGUGUGCAGUGCCCGGCCGGGGGAUUGAACCCCCUUUUCGAAAAAUGAAAAUAAUGAGGGGCAAUGAUGAUCAUGACGAUGACUGAAAUAAUCAUGCCUUGAGCAAUCAAGACAGCCGUGGUGUGGUGGUACUAAACAGAGCUGAAAAAAAAACGGUGUCUGGGUUGGAGUUGCCCUUAGAGCCCACCCUUACCUCUCUUGCAGCAUGUCCAAUUCAUCGCUGAUGUUGGAUGCUUUGUGCCUCGGAUGGUCAUUCUGUUGAGUGAUAACCAUGGUAGUUCUCUUACAUCGUGAUGGGUAGAUUAUGAAGCAAGAGAUGUGAGGGUUGGGCUUGAAGAUGGAAAGACAAAAACCGAGCAUCUUUUGCUAUAUAUCUCUCUCAAAUCCUAAACUAAAUCAGUUGAGCUCUCAUUGCUGACUCGCUGGAUCUGGGCCGCCAUCGAUGCAUUUCUCGCAGCUUGGCUGCAUGUUGCUUUGUAUUCGGUACUAUCCCCAUCUCUCUCUCUCUUUCUUUCUCUCUCUCAGACGCUCACACACACUUGCUCUAGUAAAGCCUAACCCUCAACCGAAUCAGGCGAGCUCUCGUUGCCGGAUCUCUGACCAUCGUCCCGGUGGCCGCUGCACACCACUACGACGCCGCCAGCCACCACUGUUCCAUUGCCUUGGAUUCGGUUGUGGCGUGAGCUGGAACCGUGCUCUGUUGUCUGAUGCGUCGUUCGAGCGGGGGGUUUGGUUGUUCGAUCAACUUAUGAAAAAGGGUCAAAACACGAAAUUUAGCCUUUGGGUUGUGGCCGCGUCACUUCACUGCUGUGGUGCUGCCAGCCUCUGCCGUUCCAUUGCCUUGGAUUUGGCUGUGGCGUGGGCUGGGAACCGUGCGGUGUUGUCUGGUGCGUCGUCAGGUUUGGUCGGUCCAGGCGAGGCAUGUGUAGCUCCUGAGGCUGAUGGGGAUGGAUGGACAUGUGCACGCAUGUACUUCCUCCGUUCCUAAAUAUAAGUCUUUCUAGAGGUCUCAAUAUGAACUACAUACGGACAUGUGCUCGCAUGUACUUCCUUCGUUCCUAAAUAUAAGUCUUUCUAGAGGUCUCAAUAUGAACUACAUACGGACAUGUGCUCGCAUGUACUUCCUUCGUUCGUAAAUAUAAGUCUUUUUAGAGAUCCCAAUAUGGACUACAUACGGAGCAAAAUGAGUGAAUCUACACUAUAAAUCAUGUCUAUAUACACCCGUAUGUAGUACGUAUUGAAAUCUCUAAAAAGACUUAUAUUUAGAAACGGAGGGAGUAUGAUCUAAAUGCUCUUAUAUUUCUGUACAGAGGGAGUAUGUAUGUAUGUAUGUAUGUAUGUAUGUAUGUAUGUAUGUAUGUAUGUAUAUCAGGGUCAUGUUGUGCCUGGUGGGCAAAGACCGGUGGUACAACCUCCUUUUCGGUAAAAAAUGAAGGGCGAUGAUGAUGACUGUGGCUGAAAUAAGCAUGUCUUGAGCAAUCAAGAUAGCUGUGGCCUGUGUGUACUAAAUUAGAGCCCACCCUUUCCUCCCUUGCAGCCUGUCCAAUUCAUCGGUAACGUUGGAUGUUCUGCACCUUGGACGGUCAUUCUGAUGAGUGACAACCAGGGCAGUUUUCUUACAUUUUGAUGGGUAGAUUAUGCAGCAAGAGAUGUGAGUGUUGGGUUUGAAGAUGAAAUGCAAAACUGAGCCCUCUUUUGCUUAUGAUCCUUGUAUCCCCUCUCUCUCUCCCUAAAACAAAUCAGUCAAGUUCUCAUUGCCGGCUUGCUGGCCCAUCGUCUCUGUGGCUGCCAUGUCAGUUCCCUGUCUUUACGGUGCUGCCAGCCGCAACCAGUCCAUUGCCUUGGAUUCGUUGUGGUGUGGCUGGGAACCGUAAGGCGUCGUCUGAUGCGUCGUCCACACUGGGAGGUUUGGUCGGUUGAGGCCAGGUAUGAGCAACUCCUGAGACUGUCUAAGUUACUCACCACUAUGGCCAGCCUGAUGGAUGGAUGGAUGGAUGGAUGGAUGGAUGGACGGACGCAUGCAUGCAUGUAUGUAGGGAUAGUAUGGUCAUGUUGCUUGGGGUUUGACCUCCUUUUCAAAAAAAAAAAAGGGGCGAUGAUGAUGCCUGUGGCUGGAAUAAUUAUGUGUUGAGCAAUCAAGACAGCUGUGGCGUGUGGGUACUAAAUAGGCCCCGAAUGGGGCCGGAGUUGGAGAUGCCCUUAAGAGCUCACCCUUACGUUUCUUGCAGCCUGUUCAAUUCAUGGCUAAUGUUGGAUGUUCUGCGCCUCGGAUGGUCAUUCUGAUGAUUGAUAACCAGGGCAGGUCUCUUACAUCGCGAUGUGUAGGUUAUGCAGCAAGAGACGUGAGUAUUGGGCUUGAAGAUGAAAGGCAAAACUGAGCCCUCUUUUGCUACGCUACAAAUACUUAGUUUUUCCUUCUCUACUAUACAUUGUUUUUUAUUUUCUGUUCCUCUCUAUUGUGUUGAUGUGAGAUCUCGAUCUGGAUUGCUAUCUUCUCUUGGUGACGAACCCAACCACCCUGGGUUACUUGGUUUGGUUCCUAGUUGGCGUUGUUUUUGCCUUUAAAGUUGUACAUAUACAUACUAUGUGUCAAACGAUUCUCCUUUUUUCCUCCAAUGCUUGUAGCUAUUGGCAGUUCUAUUCAUGUGGUUAACGAGAAGCUGUUCUCUUGCUUGUCUUGUCCUGCCAGAUGCUUCUUCAAAGACCAAGUUCUGAUCCGUUAUGUCUGUGUUUUUAUAAACUGAAGCUCAAAUUACCUUCGUAUUUGGUUUGGUCAGAGCAGACCUUUUGUUAUGAUUCUCUAUGCUAUUUAGUUCAUUGGUGAUUAGUCUAUUUUCAGCUGCUGCUGUCAAUAUUAACUGUCACAUUUUCGAUGCAUGCGUGUUACAGAUCCCUUGAACGGAUUCGAAAUGAGUGUCAAGUAAAGUUAUCAAAUGCAAAAGUGUAUUUGUUAAAAAGGCUCUUAUAUUUAACUGAAUGUCCUCCUGGAGCUUCCGCUUAGGUCAUUCAUGAUUUAUAUGUUGGGGGCUCGCCCCCUUCUCAUUAUAUAUUUUAAAAUUAAUUUAUUCAGUAUUCUUGCUUUGGUUUUGUUUUCAUUUUGCCAGAGGUUAGACUGACCGGUGUUCAGUUUCAUGGUGGAAUUGCCCACUAUCCAAUGUCACAUGCCUGACUAUUUAGCAUUAGAACCCCAUUUUUCAUGGGAUAAACGGUGACUCAACCAAGCCUUUAGUCUCAACACAUGGAUUGCUAGCUUCUACGCACCUCUGUCCAUGGCUAGUUCUUUGGUGAUAUUCCAUGUCCUCCUUUACUAUCCCACCCCUGUCCAUGGCUAGUUCUUUGGUCAUAUUACAUGUCCUCCUGUAUUAUCACUAUUAAAUUUUUACUGGUUCUUUUGGUAGUGAUGUACAUUCAAGUCGGCAAAUUGUGAACUUCUUUUCUACUGUUUUGGUCCAGCACAGCAACUGCUAACUGGCCUCAAGGAAUACAAUUUGCAUGGUUUGCUUUCUGCUGAUGACCAUUUUAAUGUGUAUAGAAGCCAAUACGUUGAAAAACACAAUGUUGUCAUAAGCCUGUAUCUACCUCCUGUUGCAAAAAUACCAUGGCUACCUUUUAUAAAUUGGCCAACUCUGAGCCUCCCGCCUAAUAAAGUUCUGAGUAAAAUUGAGUGUUUCCUUCCCAAAAUUUGAACUGAUCUUUUCCUUUUUGGUAAUUUGUUGUUCUUGCUUGCUUGCAUCCAUGUAUACAUAAAAGAUAUGUUGAGAGUUCGGUUAUGAUAUUAGUUCUUUCGGUAAAAUCAUGGGCUGGUGGAUGCAAAAGUAGUUUUGCAAGUUUAUAUUUUCGCCUUUUUUCCUACACAUUUUGUUGGUUUUGCAGUAUGUCAACCGGUUCUGUUGUUUUAGGAACAGUACUCCAGGCUCACUUAAUUCUUGUCUCUCUCUUUUUUUUUUUCCUUUUUUGUUCUUCCUUUUUCUUGAAUGGCUAUGAUAAUUCUGCUGUGCCUUGGAUGGUAAUCUUAUUUGGUGCUGGGUCAGUUUGCUUGUUUCAAUUGCUAUUUGACUUGAUAAUUUUGUUCUUCUAUUGUACUCUUUAUUAUCUACUUAUCAGUUUGUAGUUUUGGUUUCUCUUUAGGCCGCGCUUGGGAUGGUUGUAUUUCAAUACGGGGGUAUUUAGUUUACACUUGUAUUUUACUGGCUGCUGAGGCCGUGUUUGAGUUGUCGUUUUCUUUCCAAAUACGUCUGUAAACAAUACAGAUCUCCAUCCGUCGUUUCGCUUCCAGCCGGGAAUCUCUAUUAGCUCGGUAAAUCACACCUGUAAAUUAAAUACAUUUGUAUCUAAAUACACCCAUUCCAAGCGGGGCCUGAACAAUUUCUGGCUGAAAACAAAACGAUGGCCCGAGGUCCGUAUUUUUUACACGUGUAUUUGAAACGGAAACCUGUACUUCUUUACUGGUUUCAACUUAAGGGUCGCAUAUAGCAAGUUCAGCUGUCAAAAUUACUGUCUUCUUUGUGUCACAUUCCUGAAUGGCUGUGAUGAUAUAACCUCCCUAUGAGAGCUAUCUAACACCUGAAUUGAUUUACUUGGUGCUAAACUAGGAUGGCUUGUGUCAAGCAAGUAACCAGUUUAGCGGCUAACUCCCUCAGUUCAUUGGAUUUUUCAGUAUGGACUACGCACGGACUGAAAGGAGUGACUAAACACACUAAAAAUAUACACCCGAUUAAGAAAAAAGUUAGAACAUCUUAUAUUUCUGAAUGGAAGGAGUACUGUUAAACGUUGGAAUUAAGAAUCCACUUAACAGUGUGUAGAGACGGACAAUGGAGAUUACAUGAUCCUUCUACUUAUGGUGGCAAGAUGGCGUUAUAUUUGAGCCAUUUACUUAUACAUGUCCCAGUUUUAUGUGUCCACCAGUUCAUGGUUUGCUCCUGGUAUUGUUUCUUUCUGCAAUCACUGAUUCUCCUAUGAUUUCUUGUCAUCUUGUGCUCUUUGACUAUUGGCUUCUUUGUAAUUCUCUUUGUGGUAUUUGCGCCAAAGUGCUGUUGAUGGCGAUAAUGAGUAAUGUUCAUUCAGAGGUGUAUUUAGAUCAGAUAUCAUCACUUGUUUAUAUGGUAUGUUUUAGGGUUAGGGUUUUGUGUGACUAGGUGGAAGUGUGCAAAUCGGGACGGCUUGCUUUCUCAUUUGAAUGCUGAAAUGUCACACAGGGAUGUAAGGGCAUCUGCAAUGCGGAUCAAUGCGGAUCACCAGGGGUGUAAGGGCAUCUGCAAAGCGGAUCACCAAGUGUAUCGGAUACAGAGUGGGUUCUGCCCAUAUGAGAGCCUCCUUUUUUUUUAAAUAAAUACGACCUCUACUUUUGAAUAUUAUUGGUUUUGAUUCUUCUCAAUCUAUUAAUGAUUUAUAGCAGUAUUGGGAUCUCAUUGUAAUAUACUCCCUUCGUAAAGAAAUAUAAGAGCGUUUAGAUCACUAAGUAAUCUACGACACUUACAAGA
Long non-coding RNA from Hordeum vulgare subsp. vulgare (domesticated barley), 10549 nucleotides. RefSeq lists it as uncharacterized. Lineage: Eukaryota; Viridiplantae; Streptophyta; Magnoliopsida; Poales; Poaceae. The record is from RefSeq and is a predicted model, not a curated record. The transcript has 2 exons.